This 270-nucleotide long non-coding RNA is filed under the name Ananas comosus (pineapple). RNAcentral's name for it is "long non-coding RNA (ACOM_LNC025307)". Lineage: Eukaryota; Viridiplantae; Streptophyta; Magnoliopsida; Poales; Bromeliaceae. The record is from RNAcentral.
UGAUUUGUGGUCUGAAUAUGUUCGUGUGUACAAAAAAUAUAAAUAUAUUACCGAUUGUCCUUAGCGCAAGUAGCAAAGGGUUUGGUGGUUGGUAUCCGAGGUCCUGAGUUCGAAUCCUAAUUGAUUCAUAUUUUCAGUUAAAUUUAUUUAUAAAUAAAAUAAAUAAAGCGGAUAGCAUGCUACCUAUCUCUCAAUAUAUAUGUUAUCUACCUAUCUCUCAAUAUAUGUAUAUAUAUACACACACGUCAUAUAUCUCGAGUACACUUCUAU